This 497-nucleotide ribosomal RNA is filed under the name uncultured bacterium. RNAcentral's name for it is "partial 16S ribosomal RNA". It matches the Rfam family "Bacterial small subunit ribosomal RNA", at positions 28 to 507 of the family's 1533-position model. The record is from RNAcentral.
GAUGAACGCUGGCGGCGUGCCUAAUACAUGCAAGUCGAGCGAACAGACGAGGAGCUUGCUCCUCUGACGUUAGCGGCGGACGGGUGAGUAACACGUGGAUAACCUACCUAUAAGACUGGGAUAACUUCGGGAAACCGGAGCUAAUACCGGAUAGUAUAUUGAACCGCAUGGUUCAAUAGUGAAAGACGGUUUUGCUGUCACUUAUAGAUGGAUCCGCGCCGCAUUAGCUAGUUGGUAAGGUAACGGCUUACCAAGGCAACGAUGCGUAGCCGACCUGAGAGGGUGAUCGGCCACACUGGAACUGAGACACGGUCCAGACUCCUACGGGAGGCAGCAGUAGGGAAUCUUCCGCAAAGGGCGAAAGCCUGACGGAGCAACGCCGCGUGAGUGAUGAAGGUCUUCGGAUCGUAAAACUCUGUUAUUAGGGAAGAACAAAUGUGUAAGUAACUAUGCACGUCUUGACGGUACCUAAUCAGAAAGCCACGGCUAACUACGUG